This 459-nucleotide ribosomal RNA is filed under the name uncultured bacterium. RNAcentral's name for it is "partial 16S ribosomal RNA". It matches the Rfam family "Bacterial small subunit ribosomal RNA", at positions 338 to 795 of the family's 1533-position model. The record is from RNAcentral.
CCUACGGGUGGCAGCAGUGAGGAAUAUUGGUCAAUGGGCGAGAGCCUGAACCAGUCAAGUCGCGUGAGGGAGUACUGCCCUAUGGGUUGUAAACCUCUUUUGUCAGGGAGCAAAGGGCGCCACGUGUGGCGUUUUGCGAGUACCCGGAGAAAAAGCAUCGGCUAACUCCGUGCCAGCAGCCGCGGUAAUACGGAGGAUGCGAGCGUUAUCCGGAUUUAUUGGGUUUAAAGGGUGCGUAGGCGGGCAUUUAAGCCGGCGGUCAAAUGUCGGGGCUCAACCCCGGCCUGCCGUCGGAACUGGGUGCCUUGAGUGGGCGAGAAGUAUGCGGAAUGCGUGGUGUAGCGGUGAAAUGCAUAGAUAUCACGCAGAACCCCGAUUGCGAAGGCAGCAUACCGGCGCCCUACUGACGCUGAGGCACGAAAGUGCGGGUAUCGAACAGGAUUAGAUACCCCUGUAGUC